Molecule: ribosomal RNA, 157 nt
Filed under: Olea europaea subsp. europaea
Lineage: Eukaryota; Viridiplantae; Streptophyta; Magnoliopsida; Lamiales; Oleaceae
Description: LSU_rRNA_bacteria
Source: RNAcentral
GAUAACAUAGGUGCUCUUUCCCAAGAACACAUGUAAAAUGAGAAGGUUUGACACCUCGAUGUCAAUUAUUCUUCACCUAAGGCUAUAGUUCUAAGGGUUGGGCUAUUGCUUAUUAAAGCAGUACGUAAGCUGGGUUCAAAAUAUCGCAAGACAAUUU